Molecule: long non-coding RNA, 301 nt
Organism: Heterocephalus glaber (naked mole-rat)
Lineage: Eukaryota; Metazoa; Chordata; Mammalia; Rodentia; Bathyergidae
Source: Ensembl
GGACUUUUUAGAGCUUGUCAUUGCUUUCCUGGGCGUGGUGUACAUUUGAGACAGCGCCUCGUUCUCCUUCCCCCUUCCGAGAAGGAAAAACUCCCCGGCUCCGUUUGGUUACUCCAUACUUUGGACUCAGAAGUGGGAGGAAGAAUAGACAGUGGAACAACGCCUCAGACAGAGCCGUGGGAGCUGCAGUAUCAGCGUCUGCUGCAUCUUACCAUCGCAUCAACAUCACAGAUCACUGAUCUGCAUAUUCUGAAUUUGUCAACUCAGAGAUUCUCUGACCUGGUUUAUGGUUAGUGUGAGG